CAAACGGCUCUUUUCAGAGCCACCCAUUGUUUUCAAAGAGAUCGCCG
This is a non-coding RNA of Ciona savignyi (Pacific transparent sea squirt), 47 nucleotides long. NCBI's taxonomy places the organism in Eukaryota, Metazoa, Chordata, Ascidiacea, Phlebobranchia, Cionidae. The record is from Rfam.